GGUGGCUCAGUGGUAAAGCGCUUGCCUUGCAUGCAUGAGGACCUGGGUUCGAUUCCCCAGCACCA
Molecule: non-coding RNA, 65 nt
Organism: Dipodomys ordii (Ord's kangaroo rat)
Lineage: Eukaryota; Metazoa; Chordata; Mammalia; Rodentia; Heteromyidae
Source: Rfam